UGGGGAAUAUUGGACAAUGGGCGAAAGCCUGAUCCAGCCAUGCCGCGUGUGUGAAGAAGGCCUUUUGGUUAUAAAGCACUUUAAGUGGGGAGGAAAAGCUUAUGGUUAAUACCCAUAAGCCCUGACGUUACCCACAGAAUAAGCACCGGCUAACUCUGUGCCAGCAGCCGCGGUAAUACAGAGGGUGCAAGCGUUAAUCGGAAUUACUGGGCGUAAAGCGCGCGUAGGUGGUUAUUUAAGUCAGAUGUGAAAGCCCCGGGCUUAACCUGGGAACUGCAUCUGAUACUGGAUAACUAGAGUAGGUGAGAGGGGAGUAGAAUUCCAGGUGUAGCGGUGAAAUGCGUAGAGAUCUGGAGGAAUACCGAUGGCGAAGGCAGCUCCCUGGCAUCAUACUGACACUGAGGUGCGAAAGCGUGGGUAGCAAACAGGAUUAGAUACCCUGGUAGUCCACGCCGUAAACGAUGUCUACCAGUCGUUGGGUCUUUUAAAGACUUAGUGACGCAGUUAACGCAAUAAGUAGACCGCCUGGGGAGUACGGCCGCAAGGUUA
RNAcentral lists this ribosomal RNA (549 nucleotides) under uncultured bacterium. RNAcentral's name for it is "bacterial SSU rRNA". It matches the Rfam family "Bacterial small subunit ribosomal RNA", at positions 355 to 896 of the family's 1533-position model. The record is from RNAcentral.